AUCUAGGUGACGAGUCCCAAGUAGAACGAAAUCUGCAUCCUAGAU
Molecule: non-coding RNA, 45 nt
Organism: Trichobilharzia regenti
Lineage: Eukaryota; Metazoa; Platyhelminthes; Trematoda; Strigeidida; Schistosomatidae
Source: Rfam